ACGCGGGGAGAGCUAGUCCCCCUUCACACUAGCCGAGUGUGGGGUGUAAAUGACGCUGAACAGGCAUGCCCUCCGGAAUAACAAGAGAGGGCCAAUUGGCGUUCAAGAUUCGAUGAUUCAUGAAUUCUGCAAUCAACAUAACUAUCGCAUUUCGUGCGUCUUCAUGGAAGCCAGAAACAAGAGAUCCGUGUGAAAGUUUGAUUCAUUUAUGUUUUACUCAGGGAUUCCCUAUAGAACCAGAGUUUAGUUGCCGCCGGCGGAUGCUUCCUGUUCCCAGGGGCUUUCUUUGAAAAAGGCCGGCUGCGCCGAGGCAACAGUAGGUAUAAGUUCACAAAGGGUUUAUGGGUGCGCCGAGGCGCGUUCCAGCAAAGACGUCCGUAGGGUGAACCUGCGGAGGGAUCAUUGCUGGAACGCGCCUCGGCGCACCCAGAAACCCUUUGUGAACUUAUACCUACUGUUGCCUCGGCGCAGGCCGGCCUUUUUCGAAGAAGGCCCCCUGGGAACAGGGAGCAGCCCGCCGGCGGCCAACUAAACUCUUGUUUCUAUAGUGAAUCUCUGAGUAAAAACAUAAAUGAAUCAAAACUUUCAACAACGGAUCUCUUGGUUCUGGCAUCGAUGAAGAACGCAGCGAAAUGCGAUAAGUAAUGUGAAUUGCAGAAUUCAGUGAAUCAUCGAAUCUUUGAACGCACAUUGCGCCCUCUGGUAUUCCGGAGGGCAUGCCUGUUCGAGCGUCAUUUCAACCCUCAAGCCUGGCUUGGUGAUGGGGCACUGCUCUCUCGCGGGAGCAGGCCCUGAAAUCUAGUGGCGAGCUCGCCAGGACCCCGAGCGUAGUAGUUAACAUCUCGCUCUGGAAGGCCCUGGCGGUGCCCUGCCGUUAAACCCCCAACUUCUGAAAAUUUGACCUCGGAUCCAUGUAGGAAGCCACCAGGCCA
RNAcentral lists this ribosomal RNA (932 nucleotides) under Diaporthe longicolla. Its description in RNAcentral is "eukaryotic LSU rRNA". The stretch from base 581 to 734 matches the Rfam family "5.8S ribosomal RNA". Lineage: Eukaryota; Fungi; Ascomycota; Sordariomycetes; Diaporthales; Diaporthaceae. The record is from RNAcentral.